ACAUCGGUAGCACAGUGGUUAGGGCAGUCUGCCGGCAACAGCAAGACGCGGAUUCAAUUCCCGUCCGAUGUC
This is a non-coding RNA of Nippostrongylus brasiliensis, 72 nucleotides long. The record is from Rfam. NCBI's taxonomy places the organism in Eukaryota, Metazoa, Nematoda, Chromadorea, Rhabditida, Heligmosomidae.